CGGGGGCGGGAGCGCUGCGGCCUGGGGGCGCUCGGCGGAGUCACCCCGGAAAGGCUCCCGGGAGCUGUCCCCCUGCCGAGGGACAGAGACGCGUCCCCUGCCGAAGGGAGCGCGCUUUCGAGUGGUUGGGCCGGGCCGCCCAAAGCUCUGCCGCGGGAUGCUCCCGAGCCGCCGCCCGCUAAAGGGCACCCGCUACACCCCGACGAGCUGCUGUGUAACCAUCCCUUCUGCCGCUCCGGGGGAUUGCUGAGUGCUAGGGCAGGUUUCAAAUUGUGUGACCCAUUGUGUAAAGAACAUGCUGAGAAUGCAGCUGCUUCUGGGACAGGCUUCAUCACAGUGAAGUGGAAGGGGAAUUUUUGAAGAAAAUGAAGGAGCACAUGUAAAGCCCUGUCCUGGGGUGAUUUUAUGAUGCUAAAUUAUAUCCCCAUUUGCCUGUUUAGCCCAGAAAUAAGUUUUGUGACUUUAAAACUGGUCCUGAGAGUUAAGUGGGGGGGAAGAAGUGCACCAUUUGUUUUCAGAAACUGCACUUUGUCCCCUGUUCUCUUUCUCAUGAACUAUGUUGUCUGCAGCUUUUAGUUAAUUUUUUUAGCUAGCUGAGGCAGAGAAGUUCCCCAGAUUGUGGCAUUUCUUCUUCUUGGAACUUCUUGGUUGGAACUGAUCCACUUGCUUUGGACUGAAAACCCAGAAGAACACGGGGAGCUCACACCUAUGGCCCACCAGGGCCAAGGACAUGGCAUUUUCUAGCACAGGAGGGACUGAGUGAACUGAGCCACACCCCACAAAAAGAACUCUCUCUCUGAAUUUGCCAUCUCUUCAGAACAAUGAGAGAUUCCAUUGUUUGAUAUUAUUCUUUUUUUUUUUUUCAUGUUUGUAAAUACUUUGCUUGUUAAAUAAA
Molecule: long non-coding RNA, 895 nt
Organism: Oenanthe melanoleuca
Lineage: Eukaryota; Metazoa; Chordata; Aves; Passeriformes; Muscicapidae
Exons: 2
Source: RefSeq, a predicted model, not a curated record